This 104-nucleotide microRNA precursor is filed under the name Marmota monax (woodchuck). Lineage: Eukaryota; Metazoa; Chordata; Mammalia; Rodentia; Sciuridae. The record is from RNAcentral.
AUAGAAGUCACCUGGAAAUCUUGUUAAAAUGCAACUCUGGUUCAGUAAGUCUUAGGCAGGGCUCAAGAUUAUGCAUUUACAACAGGCUCCCACUUGCUGCUUAU